Molecule: ribosomal RNA, 872 nt
Filed under: uncultured Halomicrobium sp.
Lineage: Archaea; Methanobacteriati; Methanobacteriota; Halobacteria; Halobacteriales; Haloarculaceae
Description: bacterial SSU rRNA
Rfam family: Archaeal small subunit ribosomal RNA
Source: RNAcentral
UUCCGGUUGAUCCUGCCGGAGGCCAUUGCUAUCGGAGUUCGAUUUAGCCAUGCUAGUCGCACGGGUUUAGACCCGUGGCAGAUAGCUCAGUGACACGUGGCCAAACUACCCUCUGGAUCGGAACAACCUCGGGAAACUGAGGCUAAUUCCGAAUAAAGCUCUCCGCCUGGAACGGCUUGAGCUGGAAACGCUACGGCGCCAGAGGAUGUGGCUGCGGCCGAUUAGGUAGACGGUGGGGUAACGGCCCACCGUGCCGAUAAUCGGUACGGGUUGUGAGAGCAAGAGCCCGGAGACGGUAUCUGAGACAAGAUACCGGGCCCUACGGGGCGCAGCAGGCGCGAAACCUUUACACUGCACGACAGUGCGAUAGGGGGACUCCGAGUGCGAGGGCAUACAGUCCUCGCUUUUCUGUACCGUAAGGUGGUACAGGAACAAGUGCUGGGCAAGACCGGUGCCAGCCGCCGCGGUAAUACCGGCAGCACGAGUGAUGGCCGAUUUUAUUGGGCCUAAAGCGUCCGUAGCCGGCCGGACAAGUCCGUUGGGAAAUCGACGCGCUCAACGCGUCGGCGUCCAGCGGAAACUGUCUGGCUUGGGGCCGGAAGACCUGAGGGGUACGUCCGGGGUAGGAGUGAAAUCCCGUAAUCCUGGACGGACCACCGGUGGCGAAAGCGCCUCAGGAAGACGGACCCGACGGUGAGGGACGAAAGCUAGGGUCUCGAACCGGAUUAGAUACCCGGGUAGUCCUAGCCGUAAACGAUGCUCGCUAGGUGUGCCGCAGGCUACGAGCCUGCGCUGUGCCGUAGGGAAGCCGAGAAGCGAGCCGCCUGGGAAGUACGUCUGCAAGGAUGAAACUUAAAGGAAUUGGCGGGGGA